GAUGAACGCUGGCGGCGUGCUUAACACAUGCAAGUCGAACGGGAAUUAUUUUAUUGAAACUUCGGUCGAUUUAAUUUAAUUCUAGUGGCGGACGGGUGAGUAACGCGUGGGUAACCUGCCUUAUACAGGGGGAUAACAGUCAGAAAUGGCUGCUAAUACCGCAUAAGCGCACAGAGCUGCAUGGCUCAGUGUGAAAAACUCCGGUGGUAUAAGAUGGACCCGCGUUGGAUUAGCUGGUUGGUGGGGUAACGGCCCACCAAGGCGACGAUCCAUAGCCGGCCUGAGAGGGUGAACGGCCACAUUGGGACUGAGACACGGCCCAGACUCCUACGGGAGGCAGCAGUGGGGAAUAUUGCACAAUGGGGGAAACCCUGAUGCAGCGACACCGCGUGAAGGAAGAAGUAUCUCGGUAUGUAAACUUCUAUCAGCAGGGAAGAUAGUGACGGUACCUGACUAAGAAGCCCCGGCUAACUACGUG
This 478-nucleotide ribosomal RNA is filed under the name uncultured bacterium. RNAcentral's name for it is "partial 16S ribosomal RNA". It matches the Rfam family "Bacterial small subunit ribosomal RNA", at positions 28 to 507 of the family's 1533-position model. The record is from RNAcentral.